GCUGAUACAUAAGACUGCUCUCAUCCAUUGAAGAGCUGACCAGAAACGUGAACAGAGAGACUGCAACUGCACCUGAUGGGAUCCCUGCCAUAACAGAUGUGUUCUGUCCAGUGAAGGCAGUGGAGAAGCCCUACACUGAUCUUGAAACUGUGCCACGCUAGUAGAGACCGGCUACAAGGAUGGGCAGCUGUUUUCGCAAAGUCAGCCAACCACUUGCUUCCAAAUGACCCUUAUCCAGAAGUAUCCGUGAGUGCCUCAUCAACAGAAACUAAAGUGGAGACCUACCUCUCAGAGAAAACGCACACAUAAGAAAAGCCGACCCACUUCAGUACUGGGAAGAACAUCCUAAUUUGUUUCCCUCUAUGGCUGCUGUUGCGAUCCCAGUGUGCCCCCUGUAGCUCUGUGGACAGUUUUGGAUUUGUUUACAUCUCACCCAACCGCUCACGGCAGAUGGCUGCACCCCUCUAAGCCUGGUUCUGCCGGAGGUUUCUUCCUGUUAAAAGGGAGUUUUUCUGAACACACUCUACCACCAACAAGGACAGCUCACCAGUGGGAACUGAUAGAUAAGACUGCUGAUGUGCUCUCAUCCAUUGAAGAGCUGACCAGAAACGUGAACAGAAAGACUGCACCUGAUGGGAUCCCUGCCAUAACGGAUGUGUUCUGUCCAGUGAAGGCAGUGGAGAAGCCCUACACUGAUCUUGAAACUGUGCCACGCUAGUAGAGACCGGCUACAAGGAUGGGCAGCUGUUUUCGCAAAGUCAGCCAACCACUUGCUUCCAAAUGACCCUUAUCCAGAAGUAUCCGUGAGUGCCUCAUCAACAGAAACUAAAGUGGAGACCUACCUCUCAGAGAAAA
Molecule: long non-coding RNA, 855 nt
Organism: Oreochromis aureus
Lineage: Eukaryota; Metazoa; Chordata; Actinopteri; Cichliformes; Cichlidae
Source: Ensembl